UAAUCUAUGUGUAAAAUUUAUUUUUGUUUUCACUGAAGACGCAUGCUGUUAUGUUGCUGUUUGUCAUACUGACUUUUUAACCAAACAGGUUGUAAAACAUGAUAUAGGGCAGUUUAUAAUUUAAGGGGUAAGGAACAUAGUGUCAUAAUAACUCGGAGCCAGACCUACAUAGUAUUUACUUGGGUUAUCAGAUAGUUUUGUCGGGUGCACAGGAGAAGAGAAUAGUUACAUCAGGGAAAACAGCUCUGCUAAGCAACCACAUAGUUCUACAGGAUGACUGACUAAAUAGCACAAUAAUUGUGGAUCGUUUUUUAUAACAUAUAUUCUGCCAUUUGCUAUCUGUCAGUCAGUAUUUGCCUCUUAACCCUUCCAAGUUGGAGAAAAAACAAGUCUAGUCUAUUUAUUCUAAUACCCUUCUUUUGGAAAUGAGUAUAUUCACAGCCAGAGGGAAUGGUAAAGCAAUUGCCCAAACUCAUUGUUUUCUUGGUCAACCUAGGCAGACUGCCAAUUGUGAAACCAUGGAAAUGUUAAAAAAAAAAAAAAAAAAAAGUCUAGAUAUUCAUUCCCAGAGCUGAAAUUGUUAGCAUAUCUGAAGCAUCUGUGUUGGUGGUAACUGUCAAACUUUGCAUUGCAAAAUUCAAAGCCAGAACUUGAGUGGGAUAUUAAAUAUGAGGAUUCUGUUCUCAAGCACUGUAAAAAGUAAAAAAGAAACUAAAUGCCCGAAGGCAAAUAUAUUGCACUGACAUUUGAAACUCUUCCAAUAGAUUUUAUUUAUUAUGCUUUUUAAAAACAGAGAAGUAGAAGUACACAUUUCAUUUUGCAAGGUGAGAUAUAGUCUCUCUAUGACAAUAAGAAUGUAAAAAUAAGGUAUUUUAUGUAUUGAAAUCCCAAUGAAUUUGAAAGUUGCAAAUGAUCUCUUUCAGAGGACCUCAGGACAAUAGUUUAAAGACCUCUGGUGACUAUAUAAUGAUUCAUAUCCAGAAAGUGCUUGAAAAUUGUUAAACACUGAUGGUUUGUAAUACAAGUUGAAAUAGUCCAAAUUGAAAUGACCUCUGGUGAAUUGGACUGGGGCUGAAAAAACUGUUUUGCCAGGGAUCACGUUAAGUGAGUGCUAGCAAGCAGAGAGACAGGUGUUUCCUGUUCCCAACCACAUGGCAUAACCAUAUAGAUUAGCUGCAGGGAAUCUAGCCAGAAUAUUUUUUUUAAACCUAAUUCAAUUUACCACCCCUCAUAUGGAAAUUGGUUUAGGUUUAAAUGAUAUCCUAAAUAAUUUGGAACUCAUAAUUAAGAUUUAUAUGCUUUUCUUUAUUCCUAAUAUAGCAAUACAGUACAAUAUCCCAGAAUCAUAAAUGAUAAUAACAGGAUGGGCUCUUGAACUAUCUCAUUCAAACUCUGUUAAUAUAGGCAUUCUCUCUACUCUUGCCCUGGAAGAUAGGCCACCAUCCUCUGCGUGAUCACUUCCAGUGCAGGGAAGGGAGGAAGAGAAACUCAAAGAUGAUUGAGAUAGACAAAUUCAGUCUUAUAGACACCUCUGAGGCUACUGUUUCUUGCUGACUGUUCAGAUAUUUAAACUAGAGUUAAAACAUUAAGUGCUGCAUAUGCAAAAUGAGAAAACCUCUUAUUUAUACAUCCUGCCUCUUUAAGUUGAGCAUAUAUUAAAUAUAUUAAUGCCAACUUGGAUUACCACACAAUAUUGCUUUUACAUUCCUCAAAGAAUUUUGUUAUGUCUAACGGAACACUAAAUUGGAAGGGAUGUUUUCUAGGGAUAGCACUAACAAUGACAUGCAGUGAUUAAGUGUUAUCUGUAUAUGUGUAGCUCUCAUUCCCAUGGAACACAGCCAUCAAUACACUCUGGGAUGCUGAGCAUUGCAGGGCCCUUAAGGGAGAGAAUUUCCAGAUUCUGUAUCACUGCCCUGCCACAUACUAUAGUAAAUCAUCUGAUUAGGUGUGUAAACGAGUGACAGAAUGAAAGAGGCUGACUGAGUUUUGUGGCACCCCAUUGGGUUAUAGAGGGGGUAGUCUUGGGGUGUCACAGAGGAGAGAAUGACAUAGGGAAUUUCUAAAAUAGCAUUUGCUACGGGUUGAAGACUGUGUGGAAAUGAUGGUCCCCCAAAGGAACAGAUUCCCCCCCCCCCCACAUAUUCUCUUCCUCUUAAGAACUAAAAAAUUACAACACUAUAUUAUCUGGGGUGCUAUGAAGGUUCUAAGAAAGAUGGAUAGGUCUUAUGCAUAAAUCUAGUGAUGGGACAGCACAGGUCAGUGUUCCAGUUUGUGGGAGUCGGAGACUCAUGAGUCAAAUCCCAGCACCACUACUUAAGUCCCAGACCUUUGGACAAUUUAUUCAGCUUCUCUGUGCCUCAAUUUCUUCAUCUAUAAAACAGAGAUAAUAAUCUGUAGUAAAUAGAGUUGAGGUGAUGAGUAAAUGAGUAUACUCUGGCACAGAGUUUUCACUUGGUGAAUGUAUUAUUUUUAUUAUUAUAAAAAUAUUCUUAAACGUCAUUAAGGGUGUUCUGUAUGUUUUGUUUAGUUUCCACUUAUAAGGGAACACACAUUUCUGGCUCUCUACUCUGCUUUGUGUGUAACUCUGGCUAUGAAACCCUAAAAGAUGUUGAGUAUUUUGGUGGAAGAGGCAGAGAUUUCCUUCUUUCCUCUUCUCUCUCUCUCUCUCCCCCCUCUACCUUGCCCCCAUCCUCUGCUCCCCCCUCUUUAUUCUUGCUGAGUCCUCAGUUUAGUGGGACCUCACAGUUAAGCACUGAGGAUCUGCCCACACAGGUAGUAAUUUCCUGGGCUGCAGGCUGAAAGCACAAAGACUGGCACGUGGUGGCUGGGACUUCCUCCACUCUGGACAGAUGGUAGGACUUCUAGAUGAAUAAAGAUAUGGUGUAUUUUCCAGGACUAAAUUAUCUUUGAGCUGUGAUCAAGCAUGAGAAAUUUCCACCCUGAGGAAAAAUAUUUGAAGGUUGCAAAAUGAAUCAUCAUAAAAUGUCAAAGGGUUCAAGCAAACGAAUUUUCAAAAAAUAAGUCUUCUGUUAUGAAUAAUGUUGGUCAGAACUCUUAGUUACAAAGACAGAAAUCAAUUUGUAACAACUUAAUCAAUAAUAAGUAAUGGAUCGGACAUAUAUUGUGGUAGCACAGAGAACUGAAAGACAAGACAGCUCCAAAGUCAGACCAGUUCAAACCAGGCAACAAAUGCCUGUAAGAUUCUAUCUAUCACUGGUUUCUAUUUCUUCCUGUAAGUCAUCUUUAUUAUCUUAACCAUAGAUGGACUUCUUCACGAGAUGGGGGUGGAAACAGCCAUCUGCAUCUCUGUCCUCAAACACUCUCACCUCUGAAGCUAGAGAAAGGGGACUACCUCUGCUGUUUAAAAAAAUCCUUUCAAAAGAUUCUGCCUUUCAAAAAAGGGCCAAUUUGGGGUACUUGCCAACAUGAACCACUAUGGCUGGGGGAAUAAAAUAU
Orcinus orca (killer whale) is the source of this 3456-nucleotide long non-coding RNA. RefSeq lists it as uncharacterized. The record is from RefSeq and is a predicted model, not a curated record. The transcript has 3 exons. NCBI's taxonomy places the organism in Eukaryota, Metazoa, Chordata, Mammalia, Artiodactyla, Delphinidae.